GACGGGUACGGGUUGUGAGAGCAAGAGCCCGGAGAUGGAUUCUGAGACACGAAUCCAGGCCCUACGGGGUGCAGCAGGCGCGAAAACUUUACAAUGCUGGAAACAGCGAUAAGGGGACCUCGAGUGCCAGGUUACAAAUCUGGCUGUCGUGAUGCCUAAAAAGCAUUGCAUAGCAAGGGCCGGGCAAGACCGGUGCCAGCCGCCGCGGUAACACCGGCGGCUCGAGUGGUAACCGUUAUUAUUGGGUCUAAAGGGUCUGUAGCCGGCCGGAUAAGUCUCUUGGGAAAUCUGGCAGCUUAACUGUCAGGCUUUCAGGAGAUACUGUCUGGCUCGAGGCCGGGAGAGGUGAGAGGUACUUCAGGGGUAGGGGUGAAAUCUUGUAAUCCUUGAAGGACCACCAGUGGCGAAGGCGUCUCACCAGAACGGACCUGACGGCAAGGGACGAAAGCUAGGGGCACGAACCGGAUUAGAUACCCGGGUAGUCCUAGCCGUAAACGAUACUCGCUAGGUGUCGGCAACGGUGCGACCGUUGUCGGUGCCGUAGGGAAGCCGUGAAGCGAGCCACCUGGGAAGUACGGCCGCAAGGCUGAAACUUAAAGGAAUUGGCGGGGGAGCAC
RNAcentral lists this ribosomal RNA (617 nucleotides) under uncultured Methanosaeta sp. Its description in RNAcentral is "bacterial SSU rRNA". It matches the Rfam family "Archaeal small subunit ribosomal RNA", at positions 262 to 879 of the family's 1478-position model. Lineage: Archaea; Methanobacteriati; Methanobacteriota; Methanomicrobia; Methanotrichales; Methanotrichaceae. The record is from RNAcentral.